AGGCUUCUGCACCUGUCAGGAUAUUCUAGUCCAACAUCGAGGUCACAAACCUUUUUUUCGAUAAGAACUCUCAAAAAAGAUUAUGCUGUUAUCCCUACGGUAACUAAUUCUUUUAAUCGUAAUAAGUACGGAUCUAGAUUUAGACAUUUUUAUAAAUAAAAGAAGCUUUAAUUGUUCCUUAGUCGCCCCAACCAAAAUUUUUUAUGAGAAGAAAUGUAUAUAUUUACUUUCUUUAUAUCAUAAAUGAUUUUUAAGCUCGAUAGGGUCUUCUUGUCUUUUAAUUUUAUCUAAGUUUCUUCACUUAGAAAAUAAAUUCCAGUGAUUUCUGUAGAGACAGGGUUGCCCUUGUCAAACCUUUCAUACUAGCCCUCAAUUAUAGGGCAAAUGAUUAUGCUACCUUUGCACGGUCAGAGUACCGCGGCCGUUAAAUACUA
This 434-nucleotide ribosomal RNA is filed under the name Littorina sitkana. RNAcentral's name for it is "partial 16S rRNA". Lineage: Eukaryota; Metazoa; Mollusca; Gastropoda; Littorinimorpha; Littorinidae. The record is from RNAcentral.